This 827-nucleotide long non-coding RNA is filed under the name Parus major (Great Tit). RNAcentral describes it as "lncRNA (ENSPMJG00000009152.1)". Lineage: Eukaryota; Metazoa; Chordata; Aves; Passeriformes; Paridae. The record is from RNAcentral.
AGGACUGGUGUCAAACUGUCUCAGAGAAUUUUGUUGUUUUUUUCUUAGCCAGAUGUGUGAGUGAGAUAUGGAGUAGUACUGGCGUAUGGUAUCAGCUCCAAACCAAGGGAGCUGCAAGUUGCAAGCCUUUGUUUUACCAGGUUCUGAGAGAAUUCUAUGUAUGAUGGUGCUGUGGACUUCUGCAGCAGUAAGCUGUGUCGGUGCUUAAAAAUUGAGAUUUCAGGAAGAGCAGAGAAGUUUUGGAGGGGAAGAAAUGCAAGAAAUGCAUCCUGGGAGAAAGUGGAAAAGAAAAAUUGUUUUCAGGUACUACUGAUAAUUAAGGCAGCGAGGCUGCAAUCUGGACCAAAGAGUGAAGUUGGAUUCACACCAGUAAGAUCAAAAGACCUGAGGACUGGACUAUAACACCCAAACUGAGUGAUACCAAAUGGACUCUUAAGCAGAGAUCAAGCGGUAAUGAACUGAGACAAUCCAAAUGAUCCAAGGGAUGAGCUAAGAAUCACGCCUAACUGAGAAGUAAGAGCAAGCCUGUAUCAGUAGUUUCAAGUCCUGCCUGGGACAAGUUCUGGGACACAUUCAAUAUCCACCUUGAGGGGGAAAAACUCCCACUCCAAACAGGAGGAUUGGGGCUGUGUUGGUUGGGAGAUCCUCAUAUUUUUUUGCUUUUGUCUGUAUUGUGUAUAAAGGAGGGGGAAAAAUCACAACUUCCAUCAGUGCCACAUCAUACACCUUGUCUAAAUCAUCCCAAUACGAGACAUGCUAUCUGGAUUAAAUACAAAUACUUAAAUUAGAGAAAAAUAGGUAUUGUGGUUCACAAAGUUAAGCCUCUC